Molecule: small nucleolar RNA, 302 nt
Filed under: Hapsidospora chrysogenum ATCC 11550
Lineage: Eukaryota; Fungi; Ascomycota; Sordariomycetes; Hypocreales; Bionectriaceae
Description: Acremonium chrysogenum ATCC 11550 Fungal small nucleolar RNA U3
Rfam family: Fungal small nucleolar RNA U3
About the family: Small nucleolar RNAs (snoRNAs) are involved in the processing and modification of rRNA in the nucleolus. There are two main classes of snoRNAs: the box C/D class, and the box H/ACA class.
Source: Rfam by way of RNAcentral
AACAACCCUCUGCAGGAGAAUCAUUUCUAUAGUAUUCGACCCAUCUUUGGUUCCCAAAAGGAGCCACAGAAUCGACCCUGGUUGAUGAAUGUAUAUCCUCGCCACCCUAGAGUGAAGAUUCCCGGUCCUCUCGAACUGCCCGCAAGGGCGGCGGCAGCCUGCCUUCUCCCUCGUGAGAGGCGGCUGUUGUAUAGAGAUGGUAUACGGCCGCUCCUGUGGUCUCACUUGAUGAUCUCUACCCUGCUAGCGGUCUUGCCUUCGGGCGCGCGGGUGGGGUGGGUGCUGAUGGACGUCUGACAGGC